CAAUCCACAAUCCACCUCCCUCCGCCUCCCACAGUGCUGGGAUUACAGGCAUGAGCCACCACGCUGGGUCUGAUUUUCUUUAAUUGUAGACAUUAACCCGUUUUGAGACAUUUACACUGAAUAAGAGCAUAGCAGGGUCC
Long non-coding RNA from Otolemur garnettii (small-eared galago), 140 nucleotides. RefSeq lists it as uncharacterized. NCBI's taxonomy places the organism in Eukaryota, Metazoa, Chordata, Mammalia, Primates, Galagidae. The record is from RefSeq and is a predicted model, not a curated record. The transcript has 3 exons.